UUCCUAUUUUCUUCCAAAUCCUCUUAAAGUUUUUACCUUUAUGCUGCUUCUAACAUCUCCUAUCUUCUCUACCUGUUUUCAAUUUCUAUCGCUGCAUGAGGAUCCACCCCAAAACCCAGUGCUUUAAAAUAACAGCCACACACUUUCUCGUAACACUGGGUCUCCCGGUGGCAUCUGCAAGGCUCACUCACGUGUUCUGUGUUUGUCGGGUGGCAGAUCAGCUAAGAAUUGGCAGGCCCCAGACGACGGUUGCCUGGGGAUGCCAGCCAGCGUGCCUCCCUUCUCCUCUUCACAGGCUCUACAGUGCGACGAGGUUGGCUGGGAAAUGCUCUAGAGGCAGCUGGAUUCCAAGAGAGUCAAAGUCAAAGAUGGAAAUGCUUCCUGGGGCCUCAGUUCAUCACACAGUCAGCCAUUCUACACCCGAUGGAUCAACAUAAGUCACUAGAGCAGCCCAGAUUUGAGAGGUUGGAGAAAGAGUUUUCUCCUCCUGGUAAAACAGCAGCAGCAGCAGCCUAGAGGGGUAUGAGGAAUUUGUGGGCAGACAGUAAACCCCCUACACACGAAACUUGAGUUGUGAACUUUCAAAGAUGCAAAUGUGACCCUGGAUGCCAACUAUUGUAUUGUACGACUGUGCCUUUCCAGGCACGGUACUAUAAGAUUAAGAAUGCUGUCUUUGUUUUUAAUGUGCACAUUACUUGUGUGAAACCUAUUAUAUUAUAAAGUCUUUGUAGUACAGUACUGUAUAGCCGAUCGUGUAACUUGGGUACCCAGGCUAACUUUGUUGGCAUUAUGAAUAAAUUGGACUUAAAAAUGUGCCCUCCGACUUGCUCAUAUGUAGAAGACUUGCUGUAUUUUGCAACUGACCAUACCUUGCCAUGUGUCCUCCCUGACCUACACCUGCUGACCUCUCCUUCCUUGUCUCCAUUACUCUCCCGAAACGAUGCUCUAGACUUGGUCACAUAAUAGUGAUGAUAACCAGUACGCAGAUACAGUCUUUGAGUACUCUGUCUCAAGCACCGUAGCCAAAGUUCUGCAUAUGUCAUUGUGUAUUUCAUCCUCCAGAUUCCCUAUCAUGGAGGUAUUUUUAUUCCCAUUUUAGGGUCAAUGAAAUUGAGACACUCAGGAGCUUAACAGGUCUCACAAGGAAGAACCUGAAUUGGGAUUCAAACUUAGAUAUACUUGAUUCCAACAUCCAUCAAGUUUUUACUC
Bos taurus (domestic cattle) is the source of this 1209-nucleotide long non-coding RNA. Lineage: Eukaryota; Metazoa; Chordata; Mammalia; Artiodactyla; Bovidae. The record is from Ensembl.